AGAGAAUACCAAGGCGCUUGAGAGAACUCGGGUGAAGGAACUAGGCAAAAUGGUGCCGUAACUUCGGGAGAAGGCACGCUGAUAUGUAGGUGAAGCCCCUGCGGGCGGAGCUGAAAUCAGUCGAAGAUACCAGCUGGCUGCAACUGUUUAUUAAAAACACAGCACUGUGCAAACACGAAAGUGGACGUAUACGGUGUGAC
This 200-nucleotide ribosomal RNA is filed under the name Enterobacter hormaechei. RNAcentral describes it as "partial 23S ribosomal RNA". It matches the Rfam family "Bacterial large subunit ribosomal RNA", at positions 1673 to 1856 of the family's 2925-position model. The record is from RNAcentral. Lineage: Bacteria; Pseudomonadati; Pseudomonadota; Gammaproteobacteria; Enterobacterales; Enterobacteriaceae. RNAcentral also lists the same sequence under 3 other names.